AGAGCCUAGUUGAAAUUAUCACAGCUUGAGCAAAGUGGCAGCAGUUACUAGUUAUCUAUGACCAUGAACACAGGGAUUGUUGCAUUCGAAAGGGAAUACGGACUCUGGCUAGAAGAGCAGAACAGGAGAGUUAGUGAGAUUCGAUCAGCACUCCAAGCUCAUAUGAGUGACAUUGAACUCAGAAUGUUAGUAGAUUCUUGC
Camelina sativa (false flax) is the source of this 201-nucleotide non-coding RNA. NCBI's taxonomy places the organism in Eukaryota, Viridiplantae, Streptophyta, Magnoliopsida, Brassicales, Brassicaceae. The record is from RefSeq and is a predicted model, not a curated record.